CGAGACCCAGCUCUCUGCCAGCAUCAACCACUCACACCCCAGGGGGAUGAGCUCUCCAAGCCCAGGAUUCUGGCAAGAGAGGUGAAGAAAGUGGAUGUGCAGAGUUUGGCUGGGGAAGAGGACAUGCUCCUGAGCAAAAGCCCAUCCUCACUCAGCGCUAACAUCAGCAGCAGCCCAAAAGGUUCUCCUUCUUCAUCAAGAAAAAGUGGAACCAGCUGUCCCUCCAGCAAAAACAGCAGCCCUAAUAGCAGCCCACGGACUUUGGGGAGGAGCAAAGGGAGGCUCCGGCUGCCCCAGAUUGGCAGCAAAAAUAAACUGUCAAGUAGUAAGAAGAACUUGGAUGCCAGCAAAGAGAAUGGGGCUGGGCAGAUCUGUGAGCUGGCUGACGCCUUGAGCCGAGGGCAUAUGCGGUGGGGGCAGCCAACCAGAGCUGGUCACUCCUCAGGACCACGAGGUAGCUUUGGCCAAUGGAUUCCUUUAUGAGCAUGAAGCAUGUGGCAAUGGCUACAGCAAUGGUCAGCUUGGAAACCACAGUGAAGAAGACAGCACUGAUGACCAAAGAGAAGACACUCAUAUUAAGCCUAUUUAUAAUCUAUAUGCAAUUUCAUGCCAUUCAGGAAUUCUGAGUGGGGGCCGUUACGUCACUUAUGCGAAAAACCCAAACUGCAAGUGGUACUGCUACAAUGGCAGCAUCUGUGAGGUGAACGUCACCCUGAUGAAAUUGACACCGACUCUGCCUACAUUCUUUUCUAUGAGCAGCAGAGGAUAGACUACGCACAAUUUCUGCCAAAGAUUGAUGGCAAAAAGAUGGCAGACACAAGCAGUAUGGAUGAAGACUUUGAGUCUGAUUACAAAAAGUACUGUGUGUUACAGUAAAGCUACCACUCUGGCUGCUAGACAGCUUGGUUGGGAGGAAGAUGACUCCUUGUAGCUGAUACUUGGCAAAAGUGUCACUGAGAGGCAAGCUAAAUGUAGUUA
This 978-nucleotide long non-coding RNA is filed under the name Homo sapiens (human). RNAcentral's name for it is "non-protein coding lnc-SPECC1-6:1". The record is from RNAcentral. Lineage: Eukaryota; Metazoa; Chordata; Mammalia; Primates; Hominidae.